This 424-nucleotide RNase P RNA is filed under the name Brucella oryzae. RNAcentral's name for it is "Ochrobactrum oryzae RNase P RNA component class A". It matches the Rfam family "Bacterial RNase P class A". Rfam says of the family: Ribonuclease P (RNase P) is a ubiquitous endoribonuclease, found in archaea, bacteria and eukarya as well as chloroplasts and mitochondria. Its best characterised activity is the generation of mature 5'-ends of tRNAs by cleaving the 5'-leader elements of precursor-tRNAs. Lineage: Bacteria; Pseudomonadati; Pseudomonadota; Alphaproteobacteria; Hyphomicrobiales; Brucellaceae. The record is from RNAcentral.
UCAGUCGGUCGGGCAGCCGCGCUCGUCAUAUGCCGAAAGGCGGCAGGUGAGGAAAGUCCGGGCUCCAUGGAAACACGAUGCCGGGUAACGCCCGGCGGGGUGACCCCAGGAAAGUGCCACAGAAAGAGACCGCCGUCUUCCCUACCGUUUGCAUGAUGAAACGGUAGGGAUGACGGGGUAAGGGUGAAAGGGUGGAGUAAGAGCCCACCGCGUCUGCAGCAAUGCAGACGGCACGGUAAACCCCAUCGGGAGCAAGACCGAAUAGGGACGGCGCAUCGGUCCGCAAGGACUGGUAAUCAGUUUCCGGAUCAGCCGUCCGGGUGGGUUGCACGAGGCGGGUGGCGACAUCCGUCCCAGAUGAAUGGCUGCCACGUCGGGCGCAAGCCCGGCCAUACAGAACCCGGCUUACAGACCGGCUGACAAU